CGCUAGGGGAGCUUGAUGCUGAGACUGAAUACUGUUCCGCUGAACAGCCUGUUCUGACCCUCAUUACUUGAACCGGGUAAUACCGGCGUAAGGAAGCAGAA
RNAcentral lists this non-coding RNA (101 nucleotides) under pig gut metagenome. The record is from RNAcentral.